Molecule: ribosomal RNA, 460 nt
Filed under: uncultured bacterium
Lineage: Bacteria
Description: partial 16S ribosomal RNA
Rfam family: Bacterial small subunit ribosomal RNA
Source: RNAcentral
CCUACGGGAGGCAGCAGUGAGGAAUAUUGGUCAAUGGACGAGAGUCUGAACCAGCCAAGUAGCGUGAAGGAUGACUGCCCUAUGGGUUGUAAACUUCUUUUAUAAGGGAAUAAAACGAGGCACGUGUGCCUUUUUGCAUGUACUUUAUGAAUAAGGAUCGGCUAACUCCGUGCCAGCAGCCGCGGUAAUACGGAGGAUCCGAGCGUUAUCCGGAUUUAUUGGGUUUAAAGGGAGCGUAGAUGGGUUGUUAAGUCAGUUGUGAAAGUUUGCGGCUCAACCGUAAAAUUGCAAUUGAUACUGGCAGUCGUGAGUACAGUUGAGGUAGGCGGAAUUCGUGGUGUAGCGGUGAAAUGCUUAGAUAUCACGAAGAACCCCGAUUGCGAAGGCAGCUUACUAAACUGUGACUGACAUUGAUGCUCGAAAGUGUGGGUAUCAAACAGGAUUAGAUACCCCGGUAGUC